GCGCACGGGUGAGUAACACGUGGGACCUACCUUGAAGUACGGAAUAACUGUAGGGUAACUUCAGCUAAUACCGUAUACGCCCUACGGGGGAAAGAUUUAUCGCUACAAGACGGGCCCGCGUUGGAUUAGCAAGUUGGUGAGGUAACGGCACCAAGCCGACGAUCUAUAGCUGGUUUGAGAGAACGAUCAGCCACACUGGAACUGAGACACGGUCCAGACUCCUACGGGAGGCAGCAGUGGGGAAUCUUGCACAAUGGGCGAAAGCCUGAUGCAGCCAUGCCGCGUGAGUGAGAAGGCCUUCGGGUUGUAAAACUCUUUUAGAUGUGAAGAUGAUGACGGUAACAUCAGAAAAAGCCCCGGCUAACUUCGUGCCAGCAGCCGCGGUAAUACGAAGGGGGCUAGCGUUGUUCGGAAUUACUGGGCGUAAAGAGCGUGUAGGCGGCUUUGUCAGUCAGGGGUGAAUUCCCGGGGCUUAACCUCGGAACUGCCCUUGAUACUGCAAGGCUUGAGUCUGUGAGAGGAUGGAGGAAUACCCAGUGUAGAGGUGAAAUUCGUAGAUAAUGGGUGGAACACCAGUGGCGAAGGCCGCCAUCUGGCACAGUACUGACGCUGAGUGCCAAAGCGUGGGGAGCAAACAGGUUUAGAUACCCUGGUAGACCACGCCGUAAACGAUGAGUGCUAGCUGUCGGGUUGCAUGCCACUCGGUGGCGCAGCUAACGCCAUUAAGCACUCCGCCUAGGGUAGACGGUUCGCAAGAUUCAAACUUCAAAGGAAUUGACGGGGGCCCGCACAAGCGGUGGAGCAAGUGGUUUAAUUCGAAGCAACGCGCAGAACCUUACCAGCCUUGACAUGGGGAUCACCGCUGCCAGAGAUGGCAGCUUCAGUUCGAC
This 890-nucleotide ribosomal RNA is filed under the name uncultured bacterium. Its description in RNAcentral is "bacterial SSU rRNA". It matches the Rfam family "Bacterial small subunit ribosomal RNA", at positions 98 to 1023 of the family's 1533-position model. The record is from RNAcentral.